This 476-nucleotide ribosomal RNA is filed under the name uncultured bacterium. RNAcentral's name for it is "partial 16S ribosomal RNA". It matches the Rfam family "Bacterial small subunit ribosomal RNA", at positions 28 to 523 of the family's 1533-position model. The record is from RNAcentral.
AAUGAACGUUGGCGGCGUGGAUUAGGCAUGCAAGUCGUACGGUAAGCUUCGGCUUAUAGUGGCGAAAGGGAGAGUAACGCGUGGUUACAUGCCCUCGGGACCGGGAUAGCGGCGGGAAACUGCCGGUAAUACCGGAUAAUAUCUUUGGACCAAAGGUGUGAUUCCGCCCGGGGAUGGGACCGCGUUCUAUUGGCUUGUUGGCGGGGUAAUGGCCCACCAAGGCGACGAUGGAUACCGGGUGUGAGAGCAUGGCCCGGCUCACUGGGCAUGAGACACUGCCCAGACACCUACGGGUGGCUGCAGUCGAGAAUCUUCGGCAAUGGGGGCAACCCUGACCGAGCGACGCCGCGUGCGGGACGAAGGCCUUCGGGUUGUAAACCGCUGUCAGUUGGGAGGAAGUGCCGGGGGGUUCUCCCCUCGGUUUGACCGAUCUUCAGAGGAAGGACGGGCUAAGUUCGUGCCAGCAGCCGCCGUAA